This 8215-nucleotide long non-coding RNA is filed under the name Homo sapiens (human). RNAcentral's name for it is "non-protein coding lnc-IRF2BP2-11:4". The record is from RNAcentral. Lineage: Eukaryota; Metazoa; Chordata; Mammalia; Primates; Hominidae.
AGGCUGUCAAAGGCAAUUGCCACAAGAGGUCAACGCCAAGGCUGCUCUGCAGAUAUGACCAGGGCUCAUUUUUUCCAUGAUCUUAGAGAAACUGGAUAAGCCCGGGGCAAAUCGGGCCCAGAGAUGAGAUGGUAGGACAUUAUGGCAGGCCCUGAAACCCCAGCGUGCCCCAGCAGAGGCCUGUGGUGGCCUCUGGGGAGGUGGGCGGUGGUGGAGGUCCGUGUGAGAGGGCAGCAGCAGCAGCAGAUUAGGCCCUGUGGAAGCCCACUUCCUUCCAGAGACAGUGCCAGGGGAGGAAGGGUCCAGACUGAGGGCAGGACGGGCCAGGGGGUGUGGCAGGCGGAUGCCCCCCUGGGCAGGUGACCUCAUCCACCCCUCCCGUGUCGCCUCCUCUGAUCUGCUCCCUCUGGAGAUGGGGAAAUCCAGAGUAGGGGCAACAGGAAGUAUAUUCCCAAGAAGACUGUAGACCCCCGCACAGGGAAACGAUGGAGCUCAGGAGGGGCGCUGAUCUCGGGAGCCUGGAUCCACCAGUUAUGCAAGUGAUGAAGUGAGUACGCACGGUCCUCGAGGCCAGGGCCGGCGCAGUAAGAACGAACAGGUUGUUCUGGAAAAUUGUCUGGCAGCCUCCCCGCGGCCUGCCUGCAGGAACUGGCAUCUGUGGAGUACUUUGCCUUGCUUGUUGAUCCACAGCACUUACCACAUCCUGGAGAAACAGGUCAAUACAGGUGGCCCUCAGGAGCCAUGGGCCCCAUGUUUGGAACUCUGACCCACACAGGGGCAACCUGAACUCCUGAGCCAUAGCCAACCCCUCCCACCCGGGGCCUCUGAUGAGCUGGGCCCCCCUGCAAAUAACGUUCCUGUCUGUUUCCAUCUGUGAGCUCCUGCUCGCGAUCUAAGGCCCAGCUGAAAGUGCUUCUUCCUUCCUGGGCCACCUUCCUUUCAUUCUCAGCUUUUCUAAAUUAUGAACAUUUCAAACAUUCCCAAAGGAGAGAGAGUGCACGAUGCACCUGAACCAUAUGUCGCCCAGAAUCCAUGGCUAUCAAGAUCUUACCACAGUUGCUUCAUGGAUCCCUGCCUCUACUUAUUUCUUUCUGAGUUGCUUUAAUGUUUCACGCCACUUUAUAUCUAUGUACUAGAUUUUGCAUCUCUAAAAUAGAGGGGCAUUUUUAUACGUAAUGAUGUUAUGGUCGUCUGGCCUAAAAAUUGCCAACACUUCCUUGCUAUCUAUCAUUCAAUACCCAGUCCAUAUUGAAAUUUCCCUUCUGAAAAUUAAUUUUUGGAAUCAAGUCUACCAUCGGAUUUGGUUGAAUUUCUGAAGGAAGGGGGUCCAUUGCUCUGCCGAAUGUCCCCACAUGGCUUCUGUCUCCAUCCACCACGUAUGUCCAGCUUGCGGCCCUGACUCUAGGUGCCCUCAAUUAUGCCCACUGUGGAAACGGCCUUUCUGCCACAUCUGAAGCUUGAGCCUUGGAGGCAGGCAUGACGUCUCAUCUCUGUGUUCUUUGUGGUUCCCAAGGCAAUGCGUGGUGUAUCCGAAGUGCUCCACUGAGUCUCGAAAACGUCCCUGCAUUGGAGGGAUCAUGGAGUGAAUUUUGUCUUUGCCACUCCACUUACAACUUCAAGUCUGGAGAUUUUGAAACACCCCAUGACUGGGAGUGACCGCUGGCUCGGAGAGGUUUGUACACAGAGCAGAGGGUAGACUAGAUGACCCUUAAGAUCCACCAUGACUCUGCAAUUCAGGCAUGCGGAACCUGGCUGAUGACAGACAUCGACUUUGUCCUCCAACCUUUUUCCGGGACUUAUCAAUAUUCUCGUGGUUAAAUUCCACAAGCUGGCAUGAUCUGAGGAGGGAAAUUAGGACAUGGUUUCUUGCCAUUACUUUUUACAGCUUGGCAAGGGGCAGGAGGCUGCCAUCCCCUUCUGUGGUUGCUGUGUCAUUCUGUGGGGUUGCUGGAGCCGGGGCCUGAGGUGUCAGGGCGGUGGAAGCUCCUGACCCUGCCCUGCUUUCUGACCCACCUCUCAUCUCACAACCUCUGACCUUGUUUAUUUCUAGAGGCAUAAUCUGUGUGCCAUAUUGUGAGUAAAUGAGAAAAUGUGGCUUGGAUUAUGGAAUUCAGCUUUAUGAUUCAUUUGUUCAGCAAGCUCUUUUUGAGAAUCUAUCUUGUGCCAGGCCCUAGAUUCUGGGGGUUUAAAAAUUGCCAAGACCCAGGCGUGGUGGCUCACGCCGCUAAUCCCAGCAUUUUGGGAGGCCGAGGUGGGCGAAUCACAAGGUCAGGAGUUCGAGACCAGCCUGGCCAACAUGGUGAAAACCCGUCUUUACUAAAAAUACAAAAAAAAUUAGCUAGGCAUGGUGGUGGGUGCCUGUAAUCCCAGCUACUCGGGAGGCUGAGGCAGGAGAAUCGCUUGAACCCAGGAGGCGCAGGUUGCAGUGAGGCGAGAUCUCACCACUGCACUCUAGCCUGGAUGACAGUGCAAGACUCCAUCUGAAAAAAAAAAAAAAAAAAACAACAAAACAAGAACGGCCAAGACCCACCUUGCUAGCAAGAAGUUCACUGUCUAAUGACAGAGACAGACCAAAGUGGCAUAAGAGAGCAAGCCUGAAUGCUAUGAGAGAGACCCAUUUCAGACUGCUGGGGUAUAGGAGGGCUUCCUGGAGGAGGCAGCUUCUAAGUUGAGUCUUAAAGGGUGAAGUACAGACAUGAAAGAAGCAAUGCCUGGGAAGGUACUCAAGAAAAAGCAUGAUGUGGUGGGGAAGGGCUGCAGCCCAGCCCUGUGCCUGCAUCCCACGCAUUUCUACUUGAUUCCUUAGCUCCCUAAACCUUGCUUGUCUCAUCUGUAAGGUGGAGAUAAAAAUAACAGUCUUCUUUUAUUAUGUGAGUUGCAAAUGACAGAGUGCAUGUGAAGGCUCCUGGUGCCAAAAAUGUUAGCAGAAUUGAGUGGAAGCAGAGUGAACACUCACUGAGGGCCGGGAGACUUAGGAGGGAGCUGGACCCCCCGGGAUGCUUUGCUGGAUGACCACAGCUUGGGGAGGGGGCUACUGCCUUUGGAGAAUGGCAACACUAUCAUGCAGCUCAGAAGGCUGGAGUCUAAUACCCUGCUCAGCAACCAGGCAUAGUCCAUUCCAUCACAGAGCCUGGGUUCACCUUGAGGACAGUGAGAACUCAGCCCUGGCCAUGUGGAAGUCAAAGCGUGCAGCACCUACGUACAUGGACCUCACCUGUCAUCCAAGUCUCCAAACCACACUGCAAUACAAACAUCGCCAAAGUAGCAGGCUUCUCUCCUCUGGGUGACAUCCACAGGGCAGAUCUGAGCAACACUUAGUGUCUCCUGGGACCUUCCCAGCCUCGGACAGAAUGGUUGUUAGAGGAACAAGCUCACUAUUGGCUUCCAUUUAUUUGAAGUGAACGACGAUGUCCCUCUAUUUGAAAAGACCUUUCUUCCACACCUAUCCUUCCUUCAACCUGCUGUUGGAAUCAGGUCCCUUAACUACAGAGAAUUCAAUGGUACCCCAAUCCCAUACACGUCAAACUUUGAUUAAAGAAUGUCUUACUCUGACCAAGGAUCUCAGAGCCCCCAGAUGAACCUCAAGACAUGGUUGGCCAUUUUUCUUUACCAUUUGUGGGAUAAAAAAGCUGAAAAUAGCCAGGAGCGGUGGCUCCCACCUGUAAUUCCAGCACUUUGGAAGGCUGAGGCAGGUGGAUCGUGUGAGCUCAGACAUUCGAGAUCAGCCUGGGCAACAUGGUGCAACCCUGUUUCUAUAACAAGUACAAACAUAAGCCAGGCAUGGUGGCAUGUGCCUUUAGUCCCAGCUACUUGGGAGGCUGAAGUGGGAGGAUUGCUUGAGCCUGGGGGUUUGAGGCUGCUGUGAGCUGUUUUUAGGCCACUGCACUCCAGCCAGGGAGACAAAGCAAGACCUUGUCAAGAAAAAAAAAAAAAAAAGAGACCUGGUUUGGUGGCUCACACAUGUAAUCCCAGUGUUUUGAGAGGCUGAGGUGUGAGGAUCCCUCGAGCCCAGGAGUUUGAGACUAGCCUAGGCAACAUAGCAAGACCCCAUCUGUGUUAUUAAAAAAGAAGAAGAAGAAGAAAAAGCCUAAGGGUAAGUGAGCAAAGGGCCAAAGGCUUCUGGGUUUGUGGACUCUGCACUUGGAAGACUGAAAUGGGCUUUGCAGAUUAGGAUCAGCAUUCAAAAUUGCUUCUAGAAGUUUCUGAGUAGGUAGAAAUUAGGAAGAGAGGCUUGCAGAAGUCUGAGUCAACUAGACUGAGGUCAGAAUCCCAGCUUGACCUCUUAUUAGCUGUUUGACAUUAGGUAAAUUUCUUACAUUUACUUGAGCCUCAGUUUCUUCAUCUGAAGACUGGGACAUGAUCAUGCCUGUCUCAUUUGUUGUUGUCAGCCAAAAUGAGAUAAAGUAUGAAAAUGCGCUUUGCACAAUGGCUGGAGUAUUAUCAGAAUGCUAAAAUAUUCCCAGGUGCUGUGGUCUGAAUGUCUGUGUCUCCUCUCCAAAAUUCCCAUGUUGAAAGCUAACCCUGAUGUGAUGGUUGGUAUUAGGAAGUGAAGUCUUUGGGAGGUGAUGAGGUCAUGAGGGUGGAGCCCUCACGGAGGUGAUUAGUGCCCUCAUAAGUAAGGGGCUAGUGAGGACGAAGCAGGAAGCAGGCUGUCUGGAAGAGGCCACUCCAGAACCCGACCAUACUGGCACCCUCAUCUCAGACUUCUGGUCUCCAGAACUGUGGGAAAGAUUUGUUAUUUAUAAGCUAGAAGCUUCCAGAGCUGUAAAAAACAAAUGUCUGUUAUUUAUAAGAUACAGUCUAUGGUAUUUUGUUAUCUCAGCCCAAAUGGACUAAGACAACCAGUAAAUGUUAGUUCAUUCCCCUCUUUGCAUGCAAAGGGAAAACUGCUUGACCAUGACUUCACAUCAAGAGCUGUGUCCACUCUUAGUAGGUCCAUAUGGCAAGCUUUGUUUGGGUAGAGACCAGCAGAACUAAAACAGCACCCUGUCUCUGAAAAUAGUUAUUCAGAUCUAAAGACGCUACCCCAGAGCCAUGCUGCUUUAUAGCCCCUGACCAGUCAACAUCCUGAUUACGGUGGUGUUAGGGGCCUGACCUUGAUCUACUUUUCCUGUGGUCAGGAGAGGUAGACUGAACUGUCCCCAAUGUGCCCAUGGGAGCUGUCAAAACAAAGUUCAGAGAAUAGGCUUGGUCCUUGAACACUCUCUCUGUGCACCUCCUGUAUCUGUAGCAGUAAUGAUCAAUCAACAAACAGAUAAAUACAAUUACGAUGUUUUCUAUGUGCCAGGCACUAUGUUACGUGCUCUCCAUGUAUUAAUUCAUUUCAUCUUAACUCAACAGUAGGUGCUCAAUAAGAAUAUGACAACUUACAAAUUCCUACAGCAGCCCAAGUUCAGGGCUAUUUCCACCCUCAUCGCACAGAUAAGGACACAGUCACAUGUAAUGCACUUUGUAGUUUACAAAGCAUUGAAAUAAAGCGCACAUUUUCUGAGUAUAAAAGCAGCACAUAAUAAUAGUAGGAAACGUGGAAAAUUAAUAGAAUUAAAGAAGAAAAACAGCAAUCAUCCUUAAUCCCAUCACUCACCGAAGCAGCUGCACCUGAUUUUUAAAUGGGCUCCCUGGAUAGAGAUGAUGAUGAUAUUGAUAUAUUUUGUAGAAACAGAAACCAAAGCUUUGAGAGAGCAGUUGCACAGUGUGGAGCAGAUCUGAGGCUCGAACCCAGCCUUUCCCCGUAUUUCCCUACAACUCUGAUGGUUGCAAUUUUUGAAGUCUGUCUCGAUUGGAUUUGCAGGUUCCUCUUCCACUUUGGGGAAAGUUCUGAAGCACUCGGUCUGAGUGACUGGAGUGGAGCUGGUUUAACCUGUGAUGGUAAAUCACUCAUUCUCAAGUUUCUGACCUGGGAGCCUUAGAUCCCUGGGGUAGAAGGGUAGCCAGAGUUAUUGCAAGAGGCCUGAGAAUGCAUGUGCCCUGCAAGCAUUGCCUGUGUGGACUGAAUAAGCAGCACUUCCCAGCCAUGUGAGCUGUUAUUUGUUGAAUCUAUGUAGAUGGCUAUAAUUAAUAAAAUGCAUGUUUAUUCAAAAGCAUGGCUAAAUUCAUUAUAGACUUUUGUCAUGUAUUUUCUUAAUCAAGAAAUAUUAAACAUACAACCACUAUCACAUGACAGUCUGCCAUAUUUUGGGGGUUUCAAAAGGAUUCACAAAUAUGAGAAUACAGGUGCUGCUACUAAAGAGGAAAGCCAAGGAAAGCUGAGGCUGCAUCCAGGGCUUGUGCAGAGCAAGGGGACAGUAGAAAUGGGGAUGGGCGUCUCUCUGGAGGGACUUGGAAGCAGCCACUCAUUUAGUAAGCUCCACGGUGUGGUAUCGUGUUAAUGAAAUACUCACUUAGUUUGUUAAUUUUUAAAAUGGUUUUUAAAAAAUCUGAAUCCACUUCAUGUUGCAUAGACCUAGUCUGAGUUUGGAAGGGUAGCCCAAUAGAAAUGAAGGUGCGGACUUAUUUUAUGGCCCUAGUCUUUCAUGGAAAAAGAGUGAUAUUGCCUUGUGUGAUUCUGGGAAGCAGCCUCCCACGUCCCUUCUUUGGGCGAGUGAAGAGUUCAAUCUAGGUGCAUACUGGGGCACCAUGCCUGCUUCACACCACCUCUCACCUGUCACCUGGGACCCUUCCUCUCUGUCUUGUGGUUUAUGGUCCCCUGCCCAUUUUCUCUGCCAGAUUUUGGGCUUUGUGGGUCCAGGACUAUGCCUGCUUUUUUUUGGGGGGGGCGGGGCAGUGUUUUGCUCCGUUCCCCAGGCUGGAGUGCAGUGAUGCGAUCAUAGCUCACUGCAGCCCUGACUUCCCAGGCUCAAUUGAUCCUCCCACCUCAGUCUCCUGAAUAGCUGAAACCUGGCUAACUUUUUUUAUUUUUUGAAAAAACUGGGUCUUGCUAUGUUGCCCAUGCUGGUCUUGAACUCCUGGCCUCAGGUGAUCUGCCCACCUCGGUGGCCGUAAGUGCUGGGAUUGUAGGCAUGAGCCACCACACCUGGCCCUACAUCUGCCUUGUUAACAGCCUUAUCUCCAAGAUCCAGCAUAGAAUGUAUUGAAAAAUAUUUGUUGAACAAAUAAGUCACUGACUGGAUGAAUACAUGAAUAGUUAGGUGUGUCUUUAAUUUUACAAAGUAGAGAUGAAAAUGUUUGAAGGAGAUUUAAAAAGUACAGAUCACUAUUCAAUAUGCCUUUUUAUUUUUUCUCCUGCAUGAAUUUCUAGGUCAGAGUGUUGAAUGGAAAACCCAUUUUUCCCCUUGAUUAUAGAAACAAUAUAUGCUUGUUCUAAAAACAAAACAAAAUGAAAAAGAUAAGGAAAAAGCUGGCUGUCCCUCCUAAUCGCGUCUCCGUGCACCUCUGGAGCACGCCCUCCUGGUUCUCCUGAGUGUGUUAUGUGUAAGUAUCCAUUGCCCUCGCCAUGGAGCCAUCCUUUGCCUUCCGCUGUGCCUGGGAGGCUGACCCCCUCGGGGAAUUACCCAGGUUCCUUUGGCCCCUGGCUUCCUGUGAGUUCAGCUGAUGAGAGGCACCUGCAGGAGUCAAGCCUGUGGGCAGAGAGAGAAAUCCUGAGACAGCCGCUCCCUGUGUCCACGUUCGUCUCUGUGUCUGCACUUGUCUCUCUGUCCGUGCUCAUCUCUGAGGCUGCUUGUCCUUCCUGGCUUCAGUUUCCACCACCGCCCCCCACCCUGCAUGGUUCCAGUCCUAGCCAGGCCCCAGAAACUCUCUCCACCUGCUUUGUUCUUCAUGGGUAUGGGGUCCUGGGAGCCCCGCCUUGCUAGCCUGGGUGUCACCUUCCUGUCUGUUCACUUCACUCUGCACACAGCUCUUGAAGGGGUCCCUUCACUAAAGCUUCUUCCUAUGGACCCUAUUUGAUACAUUCUGCUUUUAGCCAGGACCCUGAUUGCAACAAGAUGCAUCUAUAGUCACAUAAUCAGAGUUGUCCUAUAUAUUCUAUUUUAUAAUCUGCUUUUUAAAGUUAACUAUACACUAUUAUAGGACUCUUUUAAAUCCAGCAAAUAUAACUACAGGUCCUCAUUAUUUUACUUGUUAAGAUUUUCAACAGGAUUUAAUGAAAUCCCACAAAUAUUGAUUGAGCACCUAUCAUGUACAGGAUGUAGUCCCGCCCUUAGGCGGGGUACAGAGCCACGUGGGCAUUAAGACAGAUGUGGAAAUUAUGUGGAUGGAAAAUACAAGGUGUCAUCAG